GCACCCAGUUCAGCCGGUCCUCCGCACCGCCUAUAUGCAUUGACAGGACGGCAGGACCCUGAACCUUCUGCAGACGCGGCCACAGGUACACUUUUGGCAUUUUCUAUGAUAUGUGUGUGUUAAUUGAUCUGGAAUCUACUUUAUCAUACACCGUCCCUUGUGUUGCUGAAAAUUUCACAAAUGUAGGAAUAAGAGACGAAUGUAAAAAAAAAUAAAAAAAAUCAGGCAACCUAAGUCCCUAAAAUGGAUAUCUUAAGCGACGCGUGAGAUAAUUACAAAGGAGACCUCCCCGAAGUAUUAUAAUACACUAUGAGGCCAGUUUGACAUUCGAGGACGAAUGUUCUAAAGGGGGGGAUGAUGUUAUAUCCCGUAUUUUUGAACGUCAGAUUAUUUGCUGAGGUGGGGCCCACACAUCGAGAUUUUUUUUGGGACAUCUGAAAAGUCAUAUGAAUCACAUAUGUGAAGUUAAACACAACUCAAGAAGGACCCUUGGGCCAAAUCAAAGUGGAAGUCCUCCAAACGAAUAUUUUUAAGAAAACGUUUUCGGGUGAUCUGACUUCUAGGGGAAAAAACGGUAUUAUAAGUUUGGAAUUUGGAAAAUACCAAGAAAUAGAAGUUGUAGAUAAUUGAAUUAUCUUUACAACCAUAGGUCGUGGGUUCCCAGGUGACAUCGGUAUAAGGAGAUAUGGACGUUUUAAGGUCGAAAGGUCAGUGGGCUAGGCCCAACUCGGGAUCAACCGAGUUGGCCCAAAAAAAUAAAAAACGAAUUAAGGCCCAAAGGAGAGGGGUGGCCGGCCAUCUUAUGGCCCAAGCCCACAAAAUUAAUAAAUUUCCCAUGUGAUAAUUAAUAUAAAGGAUCAUUAAAUUGUCUUGAAACAUUUAGAAGUUUCAAGACAAUUGAGAAAGAGAGAAACAAGAGAAAGAAGAGCAAGAAUAAGAAGGCCAUUUUCGGCCAAGCUCUAGACCAAAAAAAAAAAAAAAAAAAAAAUUCAAAAAUCAUUUUCUACCAAUUAAAGGGUCCUUUACAACUUGGUGUAAUUAUUUUGGAAGAAAGAACACUUGUUUCUUCAAGUUGACAACUUGGUCAAGUGAAGAAGAUUGUAGAAAAAGAUUUUGGCGAACUUGAAACUUGAUUUUGGAGACGUGUAUGAAUCGGAAAAGGUCAACAGGUAGACAGAUUUGACUCUUAGAAGCUCCAUCAGCAGUACUGCGGCAGCGCUCCAGUUGUUCCGGAGCCUCAGUUUCUUGGUACUACUUUUGUGUACAUAUUCGGGCACGGUAGAACCGGUCCUUCUUGUAUAUGUAGAUGUACUUUGUUUAGAGGCUCGUAGACAGAUAUGUACAGUCAGAUGUUUUGUACUUUUGUGGUCCUCGUCGUUGUAUAAUGUGCUAGCAAAGUUUAUAAGUCCAUGUCUACAAUUAUGCCAUUAAUGUUAGCGUUAAGCAACAGAAAAAAAAAAAGAUAC
Lycium barbarum (goji berry) is the source of this 1466-nucleotide long non-coding RNA. RefSeq lists it as uncharacterized. The record is from RefSeq and is a predicted model, not a curated record. The transcript has 3 exons. Lineage: Eukaryota; Viridiplantae; Streptophyta; Magnoliopsida; Solanales; Solanaceae.